Pterulicium gracile is the source of this 94-nucleotide non-coding RNA. NCBI's taxonomy places the organism in Eukaryota, Fungi, Basidiomycota, Agaricomycetes, Agaricales, Pterulaceae. The record is from the annotation of a GenBank genome assembly.
UCUCUGAUAGUAUAUCGGUUAGUACACGCGCCUGUCAUUGCGUUUGUGCUUCCGGUCAACGCGCGAAAGCUGGGUUCGACUCCCAGUCAGAGAG